Long non-coding RNA from Zalophus californianus (California sea lion), 2081 nucleotides. RefSeq lists it as uncharacterized. The transcript has 3 exons. NCBI's taxonomy places the organism in Eukaryota, Metazoa, Chordata, Mammalia, Carnivora, Otariidae. The record is from RefSeq and is a predicted model, not a curated record.
CCUCAUCCACGUAAAAUGUGGCAAGUACGAGACGGGAGCAGAAAGGGCCCAGCUCCUCACCCGGAGCACCCCCAGGAGAAGCUGUCCUCCACGCUGGCUCAGGAAAUCAGCCGGAGAACUGUCCAUUUGCAAGGCUGCAGCAGUGGCGGAGAGUGUUCAAAUCAUUUCCCCCCCAAAUCUGGACUCCAGGACACUCCCCCUGCCCACAGAUGAAUGCCCCCCAGCCUGUCCAGAGUCACCUAGACUGCGGGCAAAUGGUUUUGCAGAGCAAGGCCAAUGAAGAGUUAAGAAGCAUAGAGACCAGUGGGCUGAAUGGUGGCCCCCAGAAGAUCAGGCUCUGAUCCCUGGAAUCUGUAGACGUUACCUUAUUUGGAAAAAAAAAAAGAUAGCCUUUGAAGAUGUGACUAAGUUAAGAACCUUGAGAUGGGGAAAUUACCCUACGUUAUCCACUUGGGCCAUCAAUGCCGUCAACAUUGUCCUUGUAAGAGAGGGGCGGAGGGAGCUCACACACACAGAAGAGGAGAAGGUGAUGUGGAGACAGGAGCAGAGAUUGGAAGGAUGUGGCCAGAAGCGAAAGAAUGCUGGCAGCCACUAGAAGCUGGAAGAGGCAAGGGAUGGACUUUCUUCUACAGCCUCCAGAGGGAGAACCACUCUGACGACAUCUUGAUUUCUGCCCAGUGAGACUAAGGCUGAGUUUCUGCCUCCAGAACCAUAAGUGCAUAUAAAUUUCUGUUGCCUGAAACCACUAAGGUUGUGGCUAUUUGUUAUAUCUGCCACAGAAAACUCACACAGGGACAAAAACGUUCCGGCCUCUAUUGUUGGAACAGUCUGGCAAAGCCUAUGGCUCCUUUCUCAGCAAAAUGGUUUCAGAUCAUAAAAUAAAAUAUGUAAGACCAUGCAGAAAGGCAAAUAUAUUGAAAUAUGGUUGUUAGAACAUAGGAAAACAACUCCAUACAGCCUUGAGUGCGCUAAUCAAGAUGACACAUUUCAGAUAGACAAGUUAGAGCUGAUUUUAUUUUAUUUAUUUUUAAAGAUUUUAUUUAUUUACUUGACAGAGAGAGACACAGUGAGAGAAGGAACACAAGCAGGGGGAGAGGGAGAAGCAGGCUUCCCAUGGAGCAGGGAGCCCGACAUGGGACUCCAUCCCAGGAGUCCAUGACCUGAGCCGAAGGCAGAUGCUUAACCGACUGAGCCACCCAGGCGCCCGAGCUGAUUUUGUUUUUGAGAACCAGUGAAGGCCACUGUUGUCGGGCUGGCUGGAGUCACACAUUGUGUUGUGGAGUGGCCUGCUGUAAAGGAGGUUGAGAACACACAUGAUCUCCGGCUAUUGUUUUGAAGUAGGGUUCAAAGGCAAGUGUGCCAAGAUAUGAAAAGUAACUGCAAUGGCAUCAUGUAAAUAGCCUGUGUUCACUGAGACCCAGCCUCAGGAAUUGCUAAUGCUCUGUGGUUUGCUGCCUAUAUUCCCCGGUUGAAAUACUGAAUGUCAGAUGGUGCACGUCAGGUACAGGACCCCUGGCUCACAGAAAGACGAAGCAGGAGCCCUAGCUUGAGUGGCCACUGCAUGGAGCCAGGGCUGGAGGGGGGCCGAGGAGGACCAGGCAGGCCCUUGGCUUGUGUGGGAGCUGGGCCCCCCAGCCAGGCCCUGUGAGAGGCGGCAGCUCACAGGAGCUGCCCGGGGAUAAAGCAGGCACAGCAAAUUGGACAGGGUGUCAGGUUGACUAUGAAAUAUGACGGAUCAACAGCCGAGGCUGGUGGUAUGACCUGCUUUCAGACACUUCAUUUAGAAGUUAUCAUAUUGCUGGAUGCUUCCUAUAAUUUGUGAUGAUGCUGAUUGUGAUAAAUUGUGAGUUUCUGGCAAACUCCCCCAGCCCACUCCAAUGGCUGAACAGAGAAAAUGUGUAAUUCUAUGGGAACAUUCAUGCCACGAAUGAGAGCUGGGAUCUGCCUGUAAACAGAAUGCUCAGUCCGUGAACAAAGUAAUUAAAUCAAGCUAAUUAAAUCACAAUAAAAAUAAUUUUAAUUUAAUUAAUUUCUCUGCACUGAUUGAACAUUAUGUUGCAACUAUGAGGCUUCCUGAACAC